CUAUUUGGCUGUGACGCCCGCGGCAAUCUAAUUGUGGAGUUCCCUAUCCCUUUUCUAAGACCUAAGAUGGCGACGUUUGCCCGGGCUCUAAGUACGGCCUGAGUACCAGGUGUGGGAAAUCGGCCAGAGGGCGAGUUUACUAAGGAAAGUCCAGAAACUGGUCAGCUUUUGUGUUGGGACUUUUUUUUUUUUUACUCUGAUUCUUUGGCAAAAGGUGUUCCUACAAAGUGCUUCAUUUUCAAGGAGAUUCAUGGAGAAGUCUUUGACAUCUGAUAUUCUAUAGACUUUGUUGCAACAUCUGUGAGAGAGAAGAUGGAUGGUGAACCCACAGAAAAUUGAAGGCCCAGGUGAAACGGGACACAGACCAUAUUCCCUCAGCUCACCGUUGGGGGAAGCGGAGAAGAGGAUAAGGCUUAACAAAGGCAAGUGGAUUUCCCCAUCGUCCCUGAAGAGAAGCUGUGCUAUCACUCUGUGCAAGAGGUCCAAAAGUCAGGAUCCCGCCUUGAGUCAUGGUGGAGUAAGGAAGGAGACAUACUGCUACUCUGAUUGUGCUCUCUCUAGCUGACUUCAAAGCCACCAAGGAUCCUGCCUUGCAAGAUGCUGACCUGUUAACUCCCAGAGCCAGACUCUAUCUGGACUCUUGGGACUUCAGACAUAAGGAAAGGCUACUCUUUUGGGACUUACGCCUUUCUUGGACUUCACCAUGAUCCAGUGUACCACAGCACAUGCUUUCCUGGAUUAUUGCAUGGAGGCUGAUGACAGUGUACCCCAGAUCCUGAAGGAGAGAGCUGCUGCAAGGCUGUUUGUACAGCCACUUAAGCACAGAAGGAUAUGGGGAACUAUUGGGCUUGGCUCUGGCUUUUAGCCUUUUGGGGAACAAGUGAAGUGGUAGGUCUCGGGGAAGAACAGGGUUCUGAGCGUAAGUACUCUCAGUGUCCCCCAAGGUUGGAAUAUUGUAGAUGAAAACCUGUUUUUUCCAAUACUAAUUGUUAGAUCAUACAUCACGUGAAUGGGCCCCUGUCUGCUUGGUUACACAGGCCCUGCUAUAAGUGUUAGAAAUGUGAAAGAAAUAGAGGCGGGAAGAACUGGGUUAUCUGAUCCAAGUACCUUUGUUUGAUGCUACCCUGAGAGGCUGGCUGAUGAGUGGGGUUGACUUCAGCACCAUGGGGGAAGGCAAGAGUGGGGUUUUUAAGAGAAAAAGUGAGGCGUUUGUGAGGGGAUAGGGGAGGAAGGGGUCAGUCUCUUGUUCUUCCAGGCAGGUGCCUCAGGGUUUCAGGAUGUGAGCUGGGACAAUAGGUUAGGUAAAGGGUGGGCUGUUCUCUAGUACUGGAGGAUCAGUAUGGCCACCGGCUAUUGUAGCUGGCACCAGGUGUCUAUUGUGCCCAAGGGGGAGAGUUUAGAUUGUGCUGGCGCCAGGUGUCUCUUGUGCCCAGUGGGGGAGAGUUUCAAUUGUGCUGCAGGCUAACAAGUAAGUUAGGACAACUGAGUCAUAGGCAUUCCAGAGGGUUGGAAACUGGCCUGACUGGGUCAUUAGCAGUCUGGGGGUUGGGGGUCUGGCCUGACUCUUUCAAUAAGAUUUCAGGAGUCAUUUUGUGAGGUAAGAUUUGGGUCGUUCCAAUAGCUGUGCUUAGAUGCAUGUCUAUCCAACCCCUAAGAAUGUAAAGAAGAUGUAGUUUUUGUAGGGAUUUUGGGGGGGUCUAGAAAAUCUUUAUUUUCCAUGUGACACUGUACAUACUUCAUUCUUUAGGCCAUCUGGCAAAGCAAGGGCUUGUGUGGGGACUGGGGAUCAGAGCAGUAAGCAACCAUUGAGAAGGCAAAAAUGCUAGUGAAGCAUAGUAAAGCUCUGGGCAGCCCAGGACAGAAACAAAAUCGCACUGUCUGUAUCACACAGUAUUGCUGCCCAAACUGAAUUGUAGCUGGCAGGCAGCCCCAGGAGGUCUCUCAAAAAGUCUGGUUUUGGUGUAUAGUAAACAGUUUCUAGGUGCCCACACACAAUAUAUGAAAAUUAAAUGUAUGAAAGUUGUGGACUAUGUGUAUAUCAAACUCUAAUAAGAGCUAUAUCUACUCCUGAGCUGUUACUAAGAGUCAAUGAGGUAUUUUAUGUGACCAUGCCUAGCAUGGGUUUAGCACUGACCAGUGGUUGUUCUCAGAGUAAGGCAACCAGACCAGCAUCAUUGGCAUCACCUUGGAACUUGUCAGAAAUACACUCUUGGGUUUCACCCCAGACCCACUGAAUCAGAAACUCUGAGGGUGGGGUGGACUGUCUGUGUUUUAGCAGAUCUUUCCAUGUGAUUCAGAUGCAAUGAAGUCUGAGAACGACUGACACAGACAUUGGGUUUUCUUCUUUCCUUUAAAGGAAUCUCUUCAAAGAAAAUACAUUCUUCCACAAUCUCCUUUAAUAAACUUUUGUAGUGAUAAAUGGGUUCCAGCUAGUCUGAAAUUUCAUACAUGUUGUCAAGCUCAAUUUUUCUACUGAGUUUAAUCAUAUUUUGAAUUCUCCUUAUAGAAAUAGUAAAACAUCUGAUCAGCACUCUUCCUGUACUUCUCAUCAAUGUCAAGACCAUUCAGCCAUCUGGGCCUUGUUUGUUAAAAGAAGAAGGCGAAGAAGAAGGAGGAGGAGAAGAAUAAGAAGAACAAGAAGAAUAUGAGUGAAAUUAAUAGAAACAAUUGAAAAAGCUAUUUGAGACACCACAAAAGAAGUAAAUCCUUGUGAGUUUAAUAACUUGAAAGGUAUUUGAUCUGAAUGAAGAUUUGCCAAGUCAUAUAAUAAAUCAUGAUUAUUUAACCAGCUCAAAAAAAAAAAAAAAGCUCUGGGCAUCUCCCAAGGAAGGCUUGCAUUUGAGUUAGAUGUUCUGUGACUCUAGAAGUUAGGGGUUAGGCACUGUGGCAGAGACAAGAGAAGGAUAUUCCCCUCUAGAGCAACAGUUCCUAGUAGUACACAUAGUGUUUCUCUAGGUGAAGCCUCUAAUGAAGGAAUAAAUUAGAAAAGGCUGGGCUGAACUCAGAGCAGUUUGGCUGGUGGCCACUCAUGUGCCCUCGCCAUUAACUUUGUGCCCUGACAGUUGGGCUUUUCUGAAAAGAUUAAUAUUAUGGCUUGAACAAGGGAAAGCUGAGGGUGUAUAAUUCAUGAGUGGUCCCUUCUGGGGUCACAGUGUGUGGAUGGAGAUUUGUGUUUGCUGCCAAGAGUGUAAGGCAGUCUUCAUUAUCUUCUGCAUCCCUACUCAUAAGGUAUUGACACUUACUGGCAGUCAAGAAGCUGAUGUCCUAGCAGUUGACUCUUUAGUACGUGUAGCAGAUUGGGUGCAUAGAAAGUGUGGCCUUUGCAGUAUUCAGGUGGGAUGGCAUACUGUCAAGGAUGCUAGAUUUCCCUUGAAAUACAGUAACAUGGUUAAUGGAGUAAUAGCGUGUCAUAUGUGUUCUAAACAACUCCCAAGAUGACAGCCAAAGGAGUCUGGGGCCAUCCACCAGAGUUCUCAACUGGUGAGAUAUAGGCCAACCAAUUAUAUUGGCCCACUCCCUCCAAGUGUGUGUUCUAGAUAUGCCUUGGUUUGUGUGGAUGCUUAGUCUGACUUAACCCAAACUUUCCCUUGUUGCCAUGCUAACCAGGCUGCCAUCAUUAGUGGAUCAGAGAAGCUGAGUACCAUGUAUAGAUACCCUAGUUAAAUAGAUAAUGAAUGGAGAUCACAUUUCAAAGGCCCUGAUGAACAAUAGUGGGCAAAAGAACAUCACAUUGAAUGGGAGGUUUCAUUUCCCCUAUAACCCCUAAGCAGCAGGGGUUGGUAGACAGGGAGAAUGGAAUAUUAAAGCAGCAGAUUAAGUUAUUAACAGGUAAACCACCUUAGCUGGGUAGACUGAAGUAUUGUUCCAGGCUUUAAUAUAUUUGAAUGAUGAGUCAGAGGGCCUGUUACCCUAUAUGCUAGACUUGGGAUCCAUACCAAGCACCCAGUACUGUAAAGGUAUGGAAGUCUCAAUAAAAAGCCCUUGUCUUCACUCUUACCGUGGAUCAAUGUGCUAUGCUGCUGAGAACACAAAGCCCCAUUAUGCCUGGGAAAGGAGUUAUCUACUAAAAUUUGCAAUGGUACAUCCUACCAUGAGGGGUGAGUUACUUCAUACCCCUGGGUGAGGGGAAACUAUUCAGUCUCCACUGGGAUCCCGUUGUCCUGGGGCAAGUUGGACCUUUUGAAAUGUACUAUACCUGGAAUGGAACAUGCACUAUUGAAAGAGGGGAGAAGAUAGAGGUUUUGGUCUGGCAUAUCCCACCCCCAGUCCAUCUCCUCACAUCUGACAGUUCUGCCUCCUUCUGGCCAACAUGUAUGGUACAUACCACUAGGCCAAGUUCCUAAAGCUGCCAACCUUCCUCUCAAGGAAUAUUCCCUUGGAGGGCAUAUUCUGUUCCCUGUAGGUAGAUCACUUGGCUGCUAUCUUUGGUCCCUUCAUUGGCCUGGAGGAAAUUAUAGCACACAUAGAAACCCUUAUUAAAUUCACCCAACAAGCCUUAUGAUAGCCAGCAAAGCUUGUCCUUAUUGAACAUUGCAAUGUCUCUAGUGAGAAAAGCUAUAUUCCAUAAUAGAAUGGCCUUCAACAUUACUGAAUGUUGUUUGUUUAUAUCUGAUGAGAAUGUUUAUGAUGAGAAUAUUUAUGUAUUAUCUUUAUUUAAUUGCAUGAGGACACCAGGGAAUGUCCUGAGUGAUCCAGCCCCUAGCCUAAGGGACAGAGUUAAUCAAUCAUUUGGAUCAUGGGGUUCUUGGUGGAAAAGUUGUCAUUGAUUUUGGGAAUUAUUGUCUUAACCUCUGUUCUCUCUUGCAUGUGCCCGUGUGGUGCUGUGGUAUCUGCCUCCAGAGAGCUGCUGCCGAUGAGCCAUCUCUGUGCUAGUGAAACCCCUUGCUGACUACUCAGGGCACUAUUCAGAAGAUCACUGCAUGUGAGAUUGUAAGGGCCAGUCAUAACGGGUGGAAUGUUGGGGUCAUCAUCAAGAAGACCUGACUGCCAGUUGAUCCUCUAGCUGGAUCUGGAAAAUUAGAGGCUUUCCACCCUCUCAAUGUACUUGGAAAAUGUUCUGCUUGCCUUCCUCAUUCCUAGAAGCUGCACCAAGGGUACAGCUUUUGAGAUAGAAAUGUAGAGACUACUUGGGCAGUAUAUGUGACUGAAUGUAUUGAAGAUCUCUAUAUAAAUUUUUAAGAUUUGGCAGUUGGUUGCAGAAAACUGCUCAUUUUGUAGACACCAAAGACAAACCUGUUAAGUUCCCUUGCUAAUUAAAACUGCCACCUACCAAUCUG
Molecule: long non-coding RNA, 5276 nt
Organism: Phyllostomus discolor (pale spear-nosed bat)
Lineage: Eukaryota; Metazoa; Chordata; Mammalia; Chiroptera; Phyllostomidae
Exons: 5
Source: RefSeq, a predicted model, not a curated record